GGCAGUAGGGCUUUUCUGUAAAGCAUGCAUUCUCUCACAACGGAACUGCUGGGUGAAGGCCACACAAUGGACCAAAUCUACAAAGGUAGAAAGAAGUACAUUGUCAACCCUCGAGCAGAAAAGGUUAUUAAGUUAGAAAGUAACCUGAAGAAUAUGUAGGCACGCUUGGAGGACUAUGACCAGCAAAUGGUGAGGAUGACAGAUAGAGAAGAGUGCACGGAGAACAUCAUAAAGCACUAUGAACAGAUGCUGCACCAGUAAACUCGCUCAAAUACUAUGGUGAGUGGCCUUUACUUGACAAUUAACUUUUUAAUUUUAAGUUGAAAUUUAAAUAUGGCAGCAAUACCUUGCAGCGGUAGUUUCGGACAAUGUUUAUGAUGGAUAUUUUGUUUUUUAGUGAACUUGAAGACAACUUUUGAUGAAUAUAUUGUUGGAAUGAUGAUUAAAAGUACAUA
Long non-coding RNA from Malania oleifera, 455 nucleotides. RefSeq lists it as uncharacterized. The record is from RefSeq and is a predicted model, not a curated record. Lineage: Eukaryota; Viridiplantae; Streptophyta; Magnoliopsida; Santalales; Ximeniaceae. The transcript is spliced from 2 exons.